Bombus terrestris (buff-tailed bumblebee) is the source of this 594-nucleotide long non-coding RNA. RefSeq lists it as uncharacterized. The record is from RefSeq and is a predicted model, not a curated record. Lineage: Eukaryota; Metazoa; Arthropoda; Insecta; Hymenoptera; Apidae. The transcript has 2 exons.
UCGCGCAGUGAAUCGCCACAUUUUAUGCACAUUUUUGACCACGCUAUAUCGAUUAUUUAUGCGCUCGUACGUUAUCGUUUUUCGUGAUACUUGAGAAUGCAAAUUUCUUUCAUUUUGCUCUGCAAAACUAUUCAGGAUUACGAGGCGCAGGACGUAGACCGAAGGCAAGAACGUGGGUCUCGCGUUUAUGGAUGAACCGAUAUAUGACCAAUGCGAGUAAAAUUCGAAUCGGCGAGCGAUUCUUGCUUGAUUGUACUUGGCAGGUGGCGCGGAAUGUUUUUGAAAAACUCACCGAAUAAACGAAUACAACGGUCUGUAAGUACGUUUGGAAAAAUAUGUUUUAACCCGAUCUCGUAAAAUGUUACCGCGAUGUGCUGAAUUUAAGAUCGAAACUGGCCAAGAAAUGAAAUUCAGUUCUUUAUAUGUAUUCUGAAAUGGUAUAAUUUUGAUGGUGGGGCACGUGAGACUUAGCGAUAUAGUACAGUGGUUCCCAAACCCUUUUUAGUCACGGCGCAUUUUUAAAAAUGUAGAGAUAUCGCGACGCACGUGGUAUAUAAAUUUGACAAUUUAUUCGAAAGAGGCAUUUAUACGCGC